RNAcentral lists this ribosomal RNA (2891 nucleotides) under Pseudomonas aeruginosa. RNAcentral describes it as "23S ribosomal RNA". It matches the Rfam family "Bacterial large subunit ribosomal RNA". Lineage: Bacteria; Pseudomonadati; Pseudomonadota; Gammaproteobacteria; Pseudomonadales; Pseudomonadaceae. The record is from RNAcentral.
GGUCAAGUGAAGAAGCGCAUACGGUGGAUGCCUUGGCAGUCAGAGGCGAUGAAAGACGUGGUAGCCUGCGAAAAGCUUCGGGGAGUCGGCAAACAGACUUUGAUCCGGAGAUCUCUGAAUGGGGGAACCCACCUAGGAUAACCUAGGUAUCUUGUACUGAAUCCAUAGGUGCAAGAGGCGAACCAGGGGAACUGAAACAUCUAAGUACCCUGAGGAAAAGAAAUCAACCGAGAUUCCCUUAGUAGUGGCGAGCGAACGGGGAUUAGCCCUUAAGCUUCAUUGAUUUUAGCGGAACGCUCUGGAAAGUGCGGCCAUAGUGGGUGAUAGCCCCGUACGCGAAAGGAUCUUUGAAGUGAAAUCGAGUAGGACGGAGCACGAGAAACUUUGUCUGAACAUGGGGGGACCAUCCUCCAAGGCUAAAUACUACUGACUGACCGAUAGUGAACCAGUACCGUGAGGGAAAGGCGAAAAGAACCCCGGAGAGGGGAGUGAAAUAGAACCUGAAACCGUAUGCGUACAAGCAGUGGGAGCCUACUUGUUAGGUGACUGCGUACCUUUUGUAUAAUGGGUCAGCGACUUAUAUUCAGUGGCAAGCUUAACCGUAUAGGGUAGGCGUAGCGAAAGCGAGUCUUAAUAGGGCGUUUAGUCGCUGGGUAUAGACCCGAAACCGGGCGAUCUAUCCAUGAGCAGGUUGAAGGUUAGGUAACACUGACUGGAGGACCGAACCCACUCCCGUUGAAAAGGUAGGGGAUGACUUGUGGAUCGGAGUGAAAGGCUAAUCAAGCUCGGAGAUAGCUGGUUCUCCUCGAAAGCUAUUUAGGUAGCGCCUCAUGUAUCACUCUGGGGGGUAGAGCACUGUUUCGGCUAGGGGGUCAUCCCGACUUACCAAACCGAUGCAAACUCCGAAUACCCAGAAGUGCCGAGCAUGGGAGACACACGGCGGGUGCUAACGUCCGUCGUGAAAAGGGAAACAACCCAGACCGCCAGCUAAGGUCCCAAAGUUGUGGUUAAGUGGUAAACGAUGUGGGAAGGCUUAGACAGCUAGGAGGUUGGCUUAGAAGCAGCCAUCCUUUAAAGAAAGCGUAAUAGCUCACUAGUCGAGUCGGCCUGCGCGGAAGAUGUAACGGGGCUCAAACCACACACCGAAGCUGCGGGUGUCACGUAAGUGACGCGGUAGAGGAGCGUUCUGUAAGCCUGUGAAGGUGAGUUGAGAAGCUUGCUGGAGGUAUCAGAAGUGCGAAUGCUGACAUGAGUAACGACAAUGGGUGUGAAAAACACCCACGCCGAAAGACCAAGGGUUCCUGCGCAACGUUAAUCGACGCAGGGUUAGUCGGUUCCUAAGGCGAGGCUGAAAAGCGUAGUCGAUGGGAAACAGGUUAAUAUUCCUGUACUUCUGGUUACUGCGAUGGAGGGACGGAGAAGGCUAGGCCAGCUUGGCGUUGGUUGUCCAAGUUUAAGGUGGUAGGCUGAAAUCUUAGGUAAAUCCGGGGUUUCAAGGCCGAGAGCUGAUGACGAGUCGUCUUUUAGAUGACGAAGUGGUUGAUGCCAUGCUUCCAAGAAAAGCUUCUAAGCUUCAGGUAACCAGGAACCGUACCCCAAACCGACACAGGUGGUCGGGUAGAGAAUACCAAGGCGCUUGAGAGAACUCGGGUGAAGGAACUAGGCAAAAUGGCACCGUAACUUCGGGAGAAGGUGCGCCGGCUAGGGUGAAGGAUUUACUCCGUAAGCUCUGGCUGGUCGAAGAUACCAGGCCGCUGCGACUGUUUAUUAAAAACACAGCACUCUGCAAACACGAAAGUGGACGUAUAGGGUGUGACGCCUGCCCGGUGCCGGAAGGUUAAUUGAUGGGGUUAGCGCAAGCGAAGCUCUUGAUCGAAGCCCCGGUAAACGGCGGCCGUAACUAUAACGGUCCUAAGGUAGCGAAAUUCCUUGUCGGGUAAGUUCCGACCUGCACGAAUGGCGUAACGAUGGCGGCGCUGUCUCCACCCGAGACUCAGUGAAAUUGAAAUCGCUGUGAAGAUGCAGUGUAUCCGCGGCUAGACGGAAAGACCCCGUGAACCUUUACUGUAGCUUUGCACUGGACUUUGAGCCUGCUUGUGUAGGAUAGGUGGGAGGCUUUGAAGCGUGGACGCCAGUUCGCGUGGAGCCAUACUUGAAAUACCACCCUGGCAUGCUUGAGGUUCUAACUCUGGUCCGUGAUCCGGAUUGAGGACAGUGUAUGGUGGGCAGUUUGACUGGGGCGGUCUCCUCCUAAAGAGUAACGGAGGAGUACGAAGGUGCGCUCAGACCGGUCGGAAAUCGGUCGUAGAGUAUAAAGGCAAAAGCGCGCUUGACUGCGAGACAGACACGUCGAGCAGGUACGAAAGUAGGUCUUAGUGAUCCGGUGGUUCUGUAUGGAAGGGCCAUCGCUCAACGGAUAAAAGGUACUCCGGGGAUAACAGGCUGAUACCGCCCAAGAGUUCAUAUCGACGGCGGUGUUUGGCACCUCGAUGUCGGCUCAUCACAUCCUGGGGCUGAAGCCGGUCCCAAGGGUAUGGCUGUUCGCCAUUUAAAGUGGUACGCGAGCUGGGUUUAGAACGUCGUGAGACAGUUCGGUCCCUAUCUGCCGUGGACGUUUGAGAUUUGAGAGGGGCUGCUCCUAGUACGAGAGGACCGGAGUGGACGAACCUCUGGUGUUCCGGUUGUCACGCCAGUGGCAUUGCCGGGUAGCUAUGUUCGGAAAAGAUAACCGCUGAAAGCAUCUAAGCGGGAAACUUGCCUCAAGAUGAGAUCUCACUGGGAACUUGAUUCCCCUGAAGGGCCGUCGAAGACUACGACGUUGAUAGGCUGGGUGUGUAAGCGUUGUGAGGCGUUGAGCUAACCAGUACUAAUUGCCCGUGAGGCUUGACCAU